This 208-nucleotide long non-coding RNA is filed under the name Malus domestica (apple). RNAcentral's name for it is "long non-coding RNA (MDOM_LNC008374)". The record is from RNAcentral. Lineage: Eukaryota; Viridiplantae; Streptophyta; Magnoliopsida; Rosales; Rosaceae.
ACAGUGACACACCUGGACCGAGAUUGAAGCAUGCUGGCCGUCACGUGGGGGUGAUAUAGCCAUGUGCACAGUGUAGAAACAAUAAAGAUAAGAAAUAUACGAAUAAAUAAAAACCGAAAGCUACUAAUGUGCACUAAUAAACAGGAAGUGCUAGGAGUGAGAUACAAGUGUAAUUACUCCUAAUCAGAGCAUAGAAAGUCUAGGUGCA